Molecule: long non-coding RNA, 3960 nt
Filed under: Homo sapiens (human)
Lineage: Eukaryota; Metazoa; Chordata; Mammalia; Primates; Hominidae
Description: HSALNT0131692
Source: RNAcentral
ACUACAGGCGCCCACCACCAUGCCCGGCUACUUUUUUGUAUUUUUAGUAGAGAUGAGGUUUCACCGUGUUAGCCAGGAUGGUCUCGAUCUCCUGACCUCGUGAUCCGCCCACCUCGGCCUCCCAAAGUGCUGGGGUUACAGGUGUGAGCUACCGCGCCCAGCCGAAGCACAUCUUUUUUAAAAAACUAAUUAAAGAGAUGCCAUGCUCAUGGCUGGGAAGUUAAUGUAAAAACCAUCCUCCUCCCCCUCAUUAGUUAUAACUUUAAUGUAAUCUCAAUCAAAAUUGCAUGGGAUUUUCUAGAACUUGGUAAACUAAAAUUCAUAUGGGGGAGAAGGCAAUCAUCCUAAAAGUUUUAAAAGCUUACAAGAUAUUUAAAGAUCACCCUAAGACUCAGAUAAGAUGAAAUAUCCAGGGAGGGAAGUCAAUGUUAGGGCCACUUUUGUCCAAGGUGGUGUUUCCUGGCCUCGACGGUGACCCUGAGAGACUGCGUAUGGGGAACGAAGGAGUUGGAGUGUGGAGCUCUCGUGGGCAGGGGUGGAACAGUCCCUGCAAAGCUGCCCCAUGUGAACUUCAGCCUGGCUUCAAGCCAUCCCAAUGCUCCCAGAACCCCAAACCCUGAAAUUACAGUCAGGCGAUUGCAACAUUAAAACAUGUUUAUCUUCUUUAGACAAAAUACUCUAAACUGAGAUUCUUUAGUUAAUAGGUGUGAACAUUUUUAUGACAAUGGAUAUGUAUCAAUAUGUAUUUCAGUGUCAUCAUGUACUAAUGUAAACCAGUUUAAUGCUGCCCUAAAACAAUGUAUACCAAUUACACCAUCAUUUUCCAGAAGUGGGGAUUAUACUUUUAAAAAACUGCUUUAGUAAUUGAAAAUAGUAACUGCAGCCUCAGACUCCUGGGCUCAAGAGAUCCUUCUGCCCCUGCCCCGCAAGUAGCUGGGACUACAGGUGCACACCAUGCCUGGCUUCUCAUUUCUGUGCUAAUUACAUUUGUCAGUUGGCCUGUGAGUGUCCUGACAGUACUGGCUCCAGCAGCAGCUUCUGUUCCUGGCUUCUCAGCAACCCAAGGAGGAUGUUCCAUUAUUAUCUCCACUUCACAAACCGGCCCAUAGUCACAUCUCUACUGAGUGGGAGAGCCAGCAAGGUUGCCCAGACAGCCUGGCUCCUGCAGAUCUGUCUUCUGCAUUGAAAACAUCAUAUUUACAGCAGCUACCAUAUUCUGAGGCAUGUUCCUAAUGCCAAAUGUGUAAGACGGAGGAAAUCACAUUCACUUAAAGGCAUUAUUUACUGGUGUUUGACUAACCUCUCCCAAAUCCACCCUUGGAUGACACCCACAAAGCCCUAGGCCAGGAGUCUGCCAGGACUCAGGCGGCAGGUCUCUCUUAGCCCACGAGGUCUGGGCCUCACUGGGAUGGCAGUGGGAAACCUGGCAUUCAGGGUAAUGUGUCAUGGGCACCCAGAAGACGCUCCCACUAUAAAACUUUGGGAAAUAAAGCAGUGAGGAGAUAGCCAUCCCCAACAGGUACCCCAGUGCUCACUCCCCAUGGGCAGCAGGUGCUGCGAACACUGAAGAAACAGUGCCUGAUUCAACAAGGACAGAAAGACCCCGGAGCGCAGAGACCAGGCAUCAUCGCUAACCACUAAAGCAAAGAGGGCACUGCCAGCUGACAACCAAGAGGAACUAUGGGAGUCUCCACCUGGAGCACAGAGACCAGGCAUCACCGCUAACCACUAAAGCAACGAGGGCACUGCCAGCUGACAACCAAGAGGAACUAUGGGAGUCUCCACCCGGAGCACAGAGACCAGGCAUCACCGCUAACCACUGAAGCAACGAGGGCACUGCCAGCUGACAACUAAGAGGACCCACAGGAGUCUCCAGGGGUUACUCACCAGCCCCAGGGCCGAGAACCUAAACAGCCAGGCAGUCUACCACAUGCUUACCUGGUCAAUAUAACCAGAGCAACUCCAGGCCUAGCAAGUGAGGUCUCACUUAGGCCUAACAAUGAAGUUACAGCUUCUCACCCAUUUCCUAAGGAAUCACCCAACACACAGAGCCUGGGGCUUCAGGAAGGAUACAGAUCAUUUCACCAGCACGCGCUCUUUUAACUCCCUUCCCUUUCCCAAAGGGUCUGUGGCCAUUUGCCAGAGAGCCUGGGCCUGGGAAGGCUGGCGUGAAGGGUGUCAGGAAAUCUAGGACAAAGACCAGACUAAUUCUAGCCCCUGCGAGGCAGGACACCGCAAUGUCCUCCAGUCACAGUGGGCCUCCAAGCCUAUGCUACAUUAUUUCUCAGGCACCCAGGUGUGUGGUUGGAAUAUUAACCCUCAAUACUGUGCAGAACUACCUCUCAGUUCCCCAAUAGGAAGAACACCUAUUCAGGCAUGAAGAGCAAAGUGACGUCUUAGAGCUCUCCCUCCUUACUUAAAUAUUAAAUCAAAAGCAAGACCAUGGAUAAGCAAUCUGUGGUAUAUUUUAAAAAUGGAAUAUUGCUCUAUAAUGAAAAGAAACAAAUUACUAAUGCGUGCAACAAAUGGGUGAAUCUUAACAGUAGUGUGCUGGGUGAGGGAAGCAGACACGAGUGCCUACUGUGCGCUUCCCUCACGAAGCCCGAGAACAGACAGAGCCACCUCAUGGAGACAGAAACCUGAAUACUGUGCGUCGCGUGGGAAAGGGCAGGCGAGUGCUUCCUGGCGUGGCAGAAACGUUCCCCAGCUUGACUGGAGCACAGAAAUUUGCACACCACAAUGACUGAACGCUGCCAGUGGGGAUUCCCGUCACCGGCCUGGCCCCAGUGUAUCUUCAAGAAUGACUCGUCUGGCACAGCGGGAGCAGGUGGUGGAUACGAGGGCCACUUUCCUCCAGUCUGGGAUUCUUACUGGACAAAUUAACACAGUACAAUCCCUGGUUUGAGGCUUGUACCUAAGAAUCUAACAAAUUGCUUUUUCUAUCCCAAUUAAGAGAAAGCACUAGAAACUAUUCCUUUUCUCAGCAGAGUCAUGGUGCAGACUGCAGCUUUGUCUCAGGCUAUGACACUCCGGCUUACUGUCAGGACUCAAACCAAACAGGACGCCUGGUCAGGCUGCCCUCUCCUCAACUUCCUCUCUCAGCAUCGAAAUCGCAGCGCGCCUCUCCCACCCUCAGGGGCCCACUGCCCAAUGACACCUGCCCAGCCUCCUCCUGGUGGCUAAGGGGCACCGCCUCAGCACCCCCAGGUCUGCCCCUCUUUGGGCAGGUCUCUGCCUCCUCCUCUGCCCCACACCCACCUGCUCCAUCCCCGCCCCACCCCAGUUCCCGUGUGGCAGAUGCUGUCCUGCAGCUCAGAGCCCAGCUCACCCUGAAAAUCUCCAAGGCCCAGCCAGGGGUCUGGCCCAGGCUUGCAGCCCACCCAGAGGAGCCCAGGGGACCUCUCGCCUCUGCCUGAGCCAUGCAGGCUUCAUCUUCCGUGGAUGAAGAGCUCAGCCUGGCCAGAGCCUCCCCAUGCUCCGCACUAAGACGUGCUUCUGAGACACCAUCCGGCAGGACAGGCUUUCAGUUGCCAAGGGCCCCACAGGCUGUCCCUGCUUCUGGAACUCUCUUCCCCUGGCCGGCCCCUCGUCCUUCAGCAGGAGGAAAACACUCUUUCACACAAGCCCUCCUUAUCUACCAGCCUGGGCUGCACCCGCAAAGGGUCUGUGUUUCGGGUUCCAGUGUGUGGCGGCGUGUGGUGGUGUGUGGCGGCAUGUGGUGAUGUGUGGCAGCAUGUCACAGUGCUCCAAGCUGUGAGUCGGGUGCCUUCCCUGGUGCUGCUCUCUCAGAAAGCUCUUCCUGCAUUUCCUGCAGUCCAGGAAGUUCUCAUCGGGACUGGCAGGGAGUUUGGAAUUUUGAGUUUUUAAGAAUCAGUUAGACACUUAUGCAGCCAAAAGACAUAUGAAAAAAUGCUCAUCAUCACUGGCCAUCAGAGAAAUGCAAAUCAAAACCACAAUGAG